This 208-nucleotide long non-coding RNA is filed under the name Solanum tuberosum (potato). Its description in RNAcentral is "long non-coding RNA (STUB_LNC009214)". Lineage: Eukaryota; Viridiplantae; Streptophyta; Magnoliopsida; Solanales; Solanaceae. The record is from RNAcentral.
UUAACUUACAAAUUAUGCAUAUAUACUUGAUAGAUUGAAAAGGUUCGGAGGCAUUGAGGAAAGGAAAAGUAUUGGAGAAGUAGCUUGCUUGACUUCGGUUCUUCGGUGGAGGUAGGUUAUGGUUUAUUCUAUUUGAUAGAUAAACUCUUAAUAGCGAUUGAUAUGCAUUGAAUGAUACUGUGAAGUUCUCUAUGUACUUGAUUGUGUG